AGCGAACGCUGGCGGUAGGCCUAACACAUGCAAGUCGAACGGCAGCACAGUAAGAGCUUGCUCUUACGGGUGGCGAGUGGCGGACGGGUGAGGAAUACAUCGGAACCUACUUUUUCGGGGGGGAUAACGUAGGGAAACUUACGCUCAUACCGCAUACGCCCUACGGGUGUAAGCAGGGGAUAUUCGGACCUUGCGCGAUUGAAUGAGCCGAUGUCGGAUUUGCUAGUUGGCGGGGUAAAGGCCCACCAAGGCGCCGAUCCGUAGCUGGUCUGAGUGGAUGGUCAGCGACACUGGAACUGAGACACGGUCCAGACUCCUACGGGAGGCAGCAGUGGGGAAUAUUGGACAAUGGGCGCAAGCCUGAUCCAGCCAUACCGCGUGGGUGGAGGAGGCCUUCGGGUUGUAAAGCCCUUUUGUUGGGAAAGAAAAGCAGCAGGUUAAUACCCCGCUGUUCUGACGGUACCCAAAGAAUAAGCACCGGCUAACUUCGUG
This 492-nucleotide ribosomal RNA is filed under the name uncultured bacterium. Its description in RNAcentral is "partial 16S ribosomal RNA". It matches the Rfam family "Bacterial small subunit ribosomal RNA", at positions 29 to 507 of the family's 1533-position model. The record is from RNAcentral.